GGCUUGGUGGUGUAGUGGUUACAUGUCUUCUUCAUGUGAAUCGAUUAGUCGAAGAUGGUAGAGGAAGAAGUCCUCGGUUCGAUUCCGGGUCAGGCCG
Molecule: non-coding RNA, 97 nt
Organism: Mycena epipterygia
Lineage: Eukaryota; Fungi; Basidiomycota; Agaricomycetes; Agaricales; Mycenaceae
Source: the annotation of a GenBank genome assembly